AGUGAACGCUGGCGGUAGGCCUAACACAUGCAAGUCGAACGGCAGCACAGUAAGAGCUUGCUCUUACGGGUGGCGAGUGGCGGACGGGUGAGGAAUACAUCGGAAUCUACUUUUUCGUGGGGGAUAACGUAGGGAAACUUACGCUAAUACCGCAUACGACCUACGGGUGAAAGUAGGGGAUCUUCGGACCUUGCGCGAUUGAAUGAGCCGAUGUCGGAUUAGCUAGUUGGCGGGGUAAAGGCCCACCAAGGCGACGAUCCGUAGCUGGUCUGAGAGGAUGAUCAGCCACACUGGAACUGAGACACGGUCCAGACUCCUACGGGAGGCAGCAGUGGGGAAUAGUGGACAAUGGGCGCAAGCCUGAUCCAGCCAUACCACGUGGGUGAAGAAGGCCUUCGGGUUGUAAAGCCCUUUUGUUGGGAAAGAAAAGCAGCAGGUUAAUACCCCGCUGUUCUGACGGUACCCAAAGAAUAAGCACCGGCUAACUUCGUG
RNAcentral lists this ribosomal RNA (492 nucleotides) under uncultured bacterium. RNAcentral's name for it is "partial 16S ribosomal RNA". It matches the Rfam family "Bacterial small subunit ribosomal RNA", at positions 29 to 507 of the family's 1533-position model. The record is from RNAcentral.